RNAcentral lists this ribosomal RNA (550 nucleotides) under uncultured bacterium. RNAcentral describes it as "bacterial SSU rRNA". It matches the Rfam family "Bacterial small subunit ribosomal RNA", at positions 88 to 673 of the family's 1533-position model. The record is from RNAcentral.
AAGGGGAGUGGCAGACGGGUGAGGAACACGUGGGAACGUACCCUUUGGUUCGGAACAACCCUGGGAAACUAGGGCUAAUACCGGAUACGAGCGAGAGCUGAAAGGUUUACCGCCGAAGGAUCGGCCCGCGUCUGAUUAGCUAGUUGGUGAGGUAAUGGCUCACCAAGGCGACGAUCAGUAGCUGGUCUGAGAGGAUGAUCAGCCACAUUGGGACUGAGACACGGCCCAAACUCCUACGGGAGGCAGCAGUGGGGAAUAUUGGACAAUGGGCGCAAGCCUGAUCCAGCCAUGCCGCGUGAGUGAUGACGGCCCUAGGGUUGUAAAGCUCUUUUACCCGGGAAGAUAAUGACGGUACCGGGAGAAUAAGCCCCGGCUAACUUCGUGCCAGCAGCCGCGGUAAUACGAAGGGGGCUAGCGUUGUUCGGAUUUACUGGGCGUAAAGCGCACGUAGGCGGACGCUUAAGUCAGGGGUGAAAUCCCGAGGCUCAACCUCGGAACUGCCUUUGAUACUGGGUGUCUUGAGUCCGGAAGAGGUGAGUGGAACUGCGAG